GGCCGCCUAGCGAAAUGGUUAUCGCGUUGGUCUUCGACUCCAUCAGUUGAACCAAAGGUUGCAGGUUCGAGUCCUGCGGUGGUCG
This is a transfer RNA of Botryobasidium botryosum FD-172 SS1, 85 nucleotides long. It matches the Rfam family "tRNA". From Rfam's summary of the family: Transfer RNA (tRNA) molecules are approximately 80 nucleotides in length. NCBI's taxonomy places the organism in Eukaryota, Fungi, Basidiomycota, Agaricomycetes, Cantharellales, Botryobasidiaceae. The record is from Rfam.